RNAcentral lists this ribosomal RNA (210 nucleotides) under uncultured bacterium. RNAcentral describes it as "partial 16S ribosomal RNA". It matches the Rfam family "Bacterial small subunit ribosomal RNA", at positions 524 to 729 of the family's 1533-position model. The record is from RNAcentral.
UACGUAGGGCGCAAGCGUUGUCCGGAAUUAUUGGGCGUAAAGAGCUCGUAGGCGGUUUGUCGCGUCUGCUGUGAAAUCCCGAGGCUCAACCUCGGGCUUGCAGUGGGUACGGGCAGACUAGAGUGCGGUAGGGGAGACUGGAAUUCCUGGUGUAGCGGUGGAAUGCGCAGAUAUCAGGAGGGAAACACCCGGUGGGCGAAGGCGGGUCUC